AGCGAACGCUGGCGGCAGGCUUAACACAUGCAAGUCGAGCGGGCGUAGCAAUACGUCAGCGGCAGACGGGUGAGUAACGCGUGGGAACGUACCUUUUGGUUCGGAACAACCCAGGGAAACUUGGGCUAAUACCGGAUAAGCCCUUACGGGGAAAGAUUUAUCGCCGAAAGAUCGGCCCGCGUCUGAUUAGCUAGUUGGUGAGGUAACGGCUCACCAAGGCGACGAUCAGUAGCUGGUCUGAGAGGAUGAUCAGCCACAUUGGGACUGAGACACGGCCCAAACUCCUACGGGAGGCAGCAGUGGGGAAUAUUGGACAAUGGGCGCAAGCCUGAUCCAGCCAUGCCGCGUGGAGGAUGACGGCCUUCGG
RNAcentral lists this ribosomal RNA (367 nucleotides) under uncultured bacterium. RNAcentral's name for it is "bacterial SSU rRNA". It matches the Rfam family "Bacterial small subunit ribosomal RNA", at positions 29 to 421 of the family's 1533-position model. The record is from RNAcentral.